Molecule: long non-coding RNA, 539 nt
Filed under: Capsella grandiflora
Lineage: Eukaryota; Viridiplantae; Streptophyta; Magnoliopsida; Brassicales; Brassicaceae
Description: long non-coding RNA (CGRA_LNC001362)
Source: RNAcentral
GACAAUACAAAAACAAAAAGAUGGUUUCAUUUGGCAAAUGUUUCUUCCUUAUGUUCUUAUGCUUUGCUCUUUUCCUGUCUCCAAGUAAGCCAUUUUUCUAUUUGAUAUUAACACUUAGAGUCGAAUACACAAAUUGUUAUUCUUUUCUUUGUUAUAAAACAUUGGGGUAUAUAAGAGCCAAAAGAUCAAUAUCUAGUGACUCUUUUUUAAUCUUUUUGAAUACUUUUUUGUUUGUUUGUUUUGUUAAAAGCUGUGUUUUGAAUACUAAACUCAUGUUCUCUCUAUAAAAAUAAAAAUGUUCAGAACAUGUUGAAGCGGAAGAUUGGAGUCCACGGCUAUUUCGGAUGGGACCUUGCGAUGAUAUUCUCGACUGCCAAAAAAAAUGCUUUGCGCGAUUCUCUGCACGUGCGACAUGCCAGUUAUCUCCAGGGUCCAUUGACCUUCCUAAAGAAACAUGUUUUUGCCUUGUCUAAAUCUUAUAUAGUUAUAUCAUCUCUAUAUGUAUGAAUAUUUGAUUGUUAAAAACAUUUAAAUAAAAU